ACCAAUGGAGUUAGUAUUCCUCACUUAUAAACCUAUGAUCUUCCACUAAAUUAACCAAUGUGGGACAUUCACUCCCAAUAAACCUCAACAGAAGAUGCACGGAGAAAAACAAGUGAAAAUUUUGAUCCUAAGAAUCUUCUAAGACUGUUCUUGUGGGAUCCUGAAACAAAGAAGCUUUUAACAGUUCAAGAAGAGUCUGAGUUGAUUGUCCAAAUCCAGGAUGUAAUGAUGUUGGAAUUACAGUUGAGAGAUUGGAUAAGUUACCUUUUAUGUCGUGAAUUUCGUGUUCAUUGCAGCAACCUGUAUGGGCUGACCAUGAUACCACUUUUCAGGAAAUAACUGCAAAUUUGGAAUCUCCUAGGCAUUCUCGAUCCGAAUGAGAGACAGAUCAUCAGACUACGAUUUGGGCUCGAAGAUUGUAAGAGAAGACUCUGUCGUCAAUAGGCAACAUGGUUGAUUUAUCUCGAGAGAGAGUGCAAAGGUGUGGAAACAUUCCUUAUGAGGGUGUGGAAACCUCUCCAUAGCAUACGUAUUUUAAAAUCAUGAGGCUGA
Cucurbita pepo subsp. pepo (vegetable marrow) is the source of this 552-nucleotide non-coding RNA. The record is from RefSeq and is a predicted model, not a curated record. NCBI's taxonomy places the organism in Eukaryota, Viridiplantae, Streptophyta, Magnoliopsida, Cucurbitales, Cucurbitaceae.